Molecule: non-coding RNA, 943 nt
Organism: Pelobates cultripes (western spadefoot toad)
Lineage: Eukaryota; Metazoa; Chordata; Amphibia; Anura; Pelobatidae
Source: the annotation of a GenBank genome assembly
CUCCACCUGCCCGCCGCUAACAAUAACAAGAGUGCCCGGGACAUUGCUCGCAGCUGGGGGUAGUGAAGGAAAGACAGCGGGCAGCCUACAACCAGUGACAGGCAGGUGGUGGGGAUCGAACCCGCAGCCAGGACUCAGCGUGAGCGGACAUCAGUCGGUGUAGCUAUAGGUGAACUCACCUGGACAGGCAGGUAGUGGGGAUCGAACCCGCGGUCAGGACACAGUGCUAUCGGAGAUCAGUCGGUAAAGGUGAACUCACCUGGACAGGUGUGAUGGAGCCAGCAUGGCAGUGUAGAGGGGUGUUUGCAUGUUUUGGGUCAUUUCAAGGUUCACUGCUGCUUGGGGACAGUGUCUGCAGUCUAGACUGACUGACUCUCAAAUCCCAUCCAGCAGUGGAGUCUAAGCUGAGCUUGAUGGGAAGUUUGGUUUACAAAGAACUGGGGUGCAACACUGACCUAAAGAGAAUCUCACUUUUUUGUCUACAGUUAUGAUUUAUCUCACCCCAGCAAUUACUACUGAAGGGUUUACUGGGUUAAAGUGUGAAGCUAGAUAAAUAGCAAACAUUCUCCUCCAAUUCUUGGUGUCCGACCAGGUGAUCUGUCUAUGAAACUGCUCUUACAUGCACAUUGUCCAUUUUCUUUCCAUAGUGGCACUCACACAUACACAAGGGAUCAUGGAAAAUAAUGUGCAGUGAAUGCCAGUCUGUUCCACAACACUUUGCAUUUGCUAGAAACACAAACUCAAAGAAAAAAAUACAAAAAAACACAUGGGGCUUAUUCACCAAACACUGAAUUAUUUCGAACUAUAAAAUAAAUUGCUAUAUUUAGGCUACGACUUCUGCAAUUUCAACCUAGCAUUUAGUGAAUAAACCGCUUUGUAUGUAAAGAUUCUUUGAGCCUGAUUAAAUUAUUUUGUUGCUAGCAUUUUAUAGUUUUUAUGCCUA